Molecule: ribosomal RNA, 253 nt
Filed under: uncultured bacterium
Lineage: Bacteria
Description: partial 16S ribosomal RNA
Rfam family: Bacterial small subunit ribosomal RNA
Source: RNAcentral
UACAGAGGAGCCAAGCGUUGUCCGGAUUGACUGGGCGUAAAGCGCACGCAGGCGGUUGCGCGCGUGGGGUGUGAAAUCUGGCCGCUUAACGGCCAGGCGCCAUCCCAUACGGCGCGACUGGAGUGAUGCAGAGGUCGAUGGAAUUGCCGGUGUAGUGGUGAAAUGCGUAGAGAUCGGCAGGAACACCCAGGGGGAAACCAGUCGACUGGGCAUCUACUGACGCUGAGGUGCGGGAGCGUGGGGAGCGAACCGG